This 3450-nucleotide long non-coding RNA is filed under the name Sus scrofa (pig). Its description in RNAcentral is "lncRNA (ENSSSCG00040018083.1)". The record is from RNAcentral. Lineage: Eukaryota; Metazoa; Chordata; Mammalia; Artiodactyla; Suidae.
CAGAGGGCUCUCACCGGGCACUGAAUCCACCAAUGGCGUGAUCCUGGACUUCCUGCCUCCAGAACUGUGAGAAAUCAAUGUUAAGCCAGCCCGCCUCCCCCCACCCCCACUUCCCGCCUCAGUUCUGUUCCCUGAUCCCCAGCCCGGGCCCCUCCGAGGGCUGUUCCCUCUGGGAAGUCUCAGCCCCCUGGGGCCCAGGAUCGGAUAUUAGCCCAAGCCUCUGCCCCUUCCCAGCUGCCCUGCCUUCGGGAUGAUGUCCAGAUUCUGACGGUCCUGCAGUCCUGGCAGGUUGUGACCGACCUGCUGUCCCGCCUGAGCUGUCACCCCUGCUCCUGUCACAGCACUCCUGACCGACCUGCUUGCUGCUCCACAGAGUUCUCUCCCGUGCGGGGUGGGGGUUUGCUUCUGUCCAUCCUGCUCUCGGGGGCUCCCUUCAUCCUCCUUUCGUGGCCUGGUCCUUCUUUGUCCCCAAUCUCAAAUGUCACUUCUGCUAAAAUCUCCCCUGGCCCACCUGGGCCCCCUCUCCCCAGAGUCUCCCCUUCAGAGCCACAAGCACCAGGCUGGGCUGCCUCCUGGUCGAAUCCUUUGAGCUUUGCAGCCCCUGCGGCGGCCCCGCCAGGGGAGCUUUCAUCACAGACCGGGCCUGGCAGGUGGGGCCAUGUCCAGGGGGCAGAUGGCCCUGCCCCCACUAGGACACCAGGGUAGAGGCUCUCCGAGCGUGGACCAUGAUAUCAGUGCCACUGGGACGGUCACGGGUGAAGAUUCUCAGACCUCAUCCAGGCCGGUGAAUCAGAAGCCCCGGGGAGGUGUGCUCCUGCAAGCCCCCCAGGGGCUUCUGAUGCCGGCCAGGUAUGAGAGCCCCGGGCCGGGGAGAGAACUGCCAGGAUGAGCUGCCGCCCCCUUGGCAGCCUCCCCUGUCCCCUGUGCACUCAGGUCUCCACGUCAGCAUCCGAAGCCUCUGUGUCCUGAAGGCGCACUCCGAGGAGACGGUUUGCCACCAAAGCUUAAAGCCAGGUGUCAAUAAACCCACUGGGGACCAGGCCGGACGGACUUUGGAAGAAAAGGUGCUGCGUGCCCUUCAGCAGUUCCAGCGAAAGACCCAUCAGUUGGUGCCUCAGUCCCCUGGGCUUCCAGCCAAGCACACCUGACUGGAUUAAUGAGCAUCUGGUUGGGGAAGAAAAGUAGCCAGAGGCGGCAGGACAUUUGUGAGAGAAGCGGGGGACACCAUUCACCAGCAAGAACAGCAGCAUAAGCCGGCGUGAACUCCAACCAUCCUGGGCAAGUGCCCGGGGGUCCCCUGGCUUGGAACCAGUUGAAGCUGAUUAUGAGAGAUUCCACUGUCAUGCUGCAACCAAGCAAAAACACAAUAUGCACAGUUGCUAGAAAAGUCACCCCUCCGUUGACUGUUGUCUGUGUGCAUCAGAAAGGUGAUGCCACAGACCUGUGGUGAGGGCAAGGUGGAAUGAGACAAGAGUGACAGUUUGGCGUGGAGGGUGGCAUUUGGCUACGUAAGGACACAGCGCGGACCCAAUUACAACUGAGGCCAGAGCCAUUAUAUCCCAGGGUCAAAACGGGGACCCUGCUGUUCCCCUGCUCCAAGCCUCUAAGCAGUCCCCAUGGUUGACUGAGAGAAGCAGGCCACCUGCACUGAAGACUUGCUCUCCGGGCCCCAUCCUGGAAGCACAGGCCUCCUCCCAGCUGGCCUCCAGGAUGUCUCACCCCUGCGCCUCUGCUCCAUGGUGUAUGGAAGUUCCCAGGCUAGGGGUUGAAUUGAAGCUGCAGCUCAGACUCAGCCAGAUCUGAGCCACAUCUGUCACCAACACCACAGCUCACGGCAACACUGGAUCCUUAACCCACUGAGCAAGGCCAGGGAUGCUAGUUGGGUUCGUUACUACCGAGCCACCACGGGAGCUCCAGGUGAUCCUUUUGAGGAAAGGAAUUGAGGUUAUUUAAUUGGGGGAGGGUCAGGAGUGCCUGAGCCCCGUCUUGACGUGGUUAUCAAGGUUGGGAAAGAUGUUGUCUGCUCGUCUCCUGUUUUUGCAAAAAGCCACUCAGAUUGAGUUCCAGGAAGGACUGUCUUGCAUGAUGACACAUUUCGGCCGGGUCCCUAUUUGUGACAGACCCAGGGGAGCAAGCUAGAUUCCAGGGCGAAGCGGCUAAUUCCAACUGGGACGGGGGACUUCAGACGCCAGCCUCCUCUCUGAAGGGGACGCUGGGACAGUCUGGGGAGAGAAACCCGAGGCCUUCGGUUUGUGAACAAGCUGGCGGGAACCGCCAGGACGAAGGUGUGGCGAGCGGCCCAGGACAGGGAGGCGGGAAUCUAAAGCUGAUGCGACAGAGACUCGACCCUCUGCUCUGCUUCUGCUUGAAGGUGGGUGGGCGACAGCUGUGGCAGGGGGACACCACUGGACAGACAGGCACUCUCGUGAUCCUCAGCGCCUUGGAGCCUAGAGGGGCAGGGAGGGUCCUGUCGGGGCCAGAUGUCCUUAAGAAGAGACAGAAAAAGAACCUCUGCGUGCCCACUACGGGACGGAAGUCGCCUCCCUCCCCUCCUUCCUUCCCUCCGAUUCAUUCAUUCAUUCCUUCGACCUGAGCCUCGGUGCUGUGGCAGCUGCCAGCACAGAAGCAGAGCAGGGAAAGAUGAGAGGCGAGGCGGAUGAACAAGUGCAUUGUGGGGCCGUAUGAGAGGUGCGUGGAGGCUUCGUGGAGGGGCUCUGGAGGAAGUGAACAAGGAGGAGCUGGUCAGGGAAGAGGACUGGAGCGAGCAGGCCCGUCACGCACCCCAUCAGCCCCAGCCCUGGUCCCGACGAGGACACCGAGGUUCAGGGUGGACCUCGGAAUCACGGCUGGCAUGUCGCAGGAUUCCAGGGCAGUUUUCUUGACUCUGAGGGGAGCGGGCUCUCCAGCAGGCUGCAGAACCUUCGGCUGGGUGAUUUUUGCCGAAGCCUUUGGCCCCGGCCCUGCAGCCUGCCAUUGGCUCUCUUUCAGGGUCACGGGAGGGAGAAACCCUUUGCUCUGAACGCUGGUUUCCCUUCCUGUUUCGCUUCAGUGGGCAUUACAGGCUCUGAAUGGGGAGCCUGAGCCCUUGGCUCCCAUGGGCUGGUGGUUUGGAAAGCAAAGCAGCGCACGCAUGUGGCCGGCCACGCUGGCAGGGCUGCGGUCCCCAGAGGACACUCGGUCCACAGCAGACACCCCCCGCCGCCCCCUGCCACCCCCUGCCCACCCCACACAUGCUCAGGGCAGAUCUCUGACAGGGAGGCUUUCUGCAAGCCCAGUCUCCUCGGGGCUGUGCUGUCUGGCCCGCAGGACUCAGUGGAUUCUCUUUUACUGAAAUACACAUUUCAAAUAUUUUGUGGCUUCUCGUACAUUUUGUUUAAAAUGAGUUGAAGUUGGAACCUACGAGAGAUAUUUGAAAAAUCUUCCUUAAACACUGAAAAAAAAAAAAAAAAA